RNAcentral lists this ribosomal RNA (489 nucleotides) under uncultured bacterium. RNAcentral describes it as "bacterial SSU rRNA". It matches the Rfam family "Bacterial small subunit ribosomal RNA", at positions 28 to 507 of the family's 1533-position model. The record is from RNAcentral.
GACGAACGCUGGCGGCGUGGAUUAGGCAUGCAAGUCGAACGGUAUCAUCCUUUCGGGGAUGAGAGAGUGGCGAACGGGUGAGUAACACGUAGGUGAUCUAACCCUCAAGACGGGGACAACCCAGGGAAACUUGGGCUAAUACCGGAUGUGAGCUAUCGUGAGAUAGUUUGAAAGGUGGCUUCGGCUGCCGCUUGAGGAUGAGCCUGCGUCCUAUUAGCUAGUUGGUGAGGUAACGGCUCACCGAGGCAGUGAUAGGUAGGCGGCCUUAACGGGUGGUCGCCCACACUGGGAUUGAGAUACGGCCCAGACUCCUACGGGAGGCAGCAGUCGAGAAUAGUCUACAAUGGUCGAAAGACUGAUAGUGCGACGCCGCGUGAACGAAGAAGCCCUUCGGGGUGUAAAGUUCUUUUAUAUGUGAGCAGUGACACCCAUAUUAAUAGUAUGGGUGUAGAGAUAUUAGCAUAUGAAUAAGCAACGGCUAACUCCGUG